AAUUCCAGCUAGAGACAGAGGGAGCGAGCGGGCGGGCCAGCAAGGGUGGAAGAGCUCCGCAAGCAGAGCCGAUCUCCGGGCGACCGGGAAGGGAGACCGGAGUGAAAGAGGGGCUUCGCCUCUGGCCCUGAAGCCCCCACUCCAGCCCUCCCGCUGACUCCGCACCAGCGGUCCGCAAACCCUCGCAGCAUCCAAGAAACUUUGCCCAUAGCAGCAGGCGGGCACUUUGCACUGGAACUUACAACACCCGAGCAAGAACGUGACUCUCCCGACCCGGGGAGACUAUUUCGCCUAUUUAGGGACACUUUUCCCCGCCGC
RNAcentral lists this non-coding RNA (318 nucleotides) under Otolemur garnettii (small-eared galago). The record is from RNAcentral. Lineage: Eukaryota; Metazoa; Chordata; Mammalia; Primates; Galagidae.